UGGGGGAUAUUGCACAAUGGGCGAAAGCCUGAUGCAGCGACGCCGCGUGGGGGAUGAAGGCUUUCGGGUUGUAAACCUCUUUCGCUAUCGAACAAGGCCCGCUUAGGGGGGGUUGAGGGUAGGUGGAGAAGAAGCGCCGGCUAACUACGUGCCAGCAGCCGCGGUAAUACGUAGGGCGCGAGCGUUGUCCGGAAUUAUUGGGCGUAAAGGGCUUGUAGGCGGCUUGUUGCGCCUGCUGUGAAAACGCGGGGCUUAACUUCGCGCGUGCAGUGGGUACGGGCAGGCUUGAAUGUGGUAGGGGUGACUGGAAUUCCAGGUGUAGCGGUUGAAUGCGCAGAUAUCUGGGGGAACACCGAUGGCGAAGGCAGGUCACUGGGCCAUUACUGACGCUGAGGGGCGAAAGCAUGGGUAGCGAACAGG
This 420-nucleotide ribosomal RNA is filed under the name bacterium. RNAcentral describes it as "partial 16S ribosomal RNA". It matches the Rfam family "Bacterial small subunit ribosomal RNA", at positions 355 to 776 of the family's 1533-position model. The record is from RNAcentral.